This 460-nucleotide ribosomal RNA is filed under the name uncultured bacterium. RNAcentral describes it as "partial 16S ribosomal RNA". It matches the Rfam family "Bacterial small subunit ribosomal RNA", at positions 338 to 795 of the family's 1533-position model. The record is from RNAcentral.
CCUACGUGUGGCAGCAGUGAGGAAUAUUGGUCAAUGGACGAGAGUCUGAACCAGCCAAGUAGCGUGAAGGAUGACUGCCCUAUGGGUUGUAAACUUCUUUUAUAAAGGAAUAAAACGAGGCACGUGUGCCUUUUUGCAUGUACUUUAUGAAUAAGGAUCGGCUAACUCCGUGCCAGCAGCCGCGGUAAUACGGAGGAUCCGAGCGUUAUCCGGAUUUAUUGGGUUUAAAGGGAGCGUAGAUGGGUUGUUAAGUCAGUUGUGAAAGUUUGCGGCUCAACCGUAAAAUUGCAAUUGAUACUGGCAUUCUUGAGUACAGUUGAGGUAGGCGGAAUUCGUGGUGUAGCGGUGAAAUGCUUAGAUAUCACGAAGAACCCCGAUUGCGAAGGCAGCUUACCAAACUGUGACUGACAUUGAGGCUCGAAAGUGUGGGUAUCAAACAGGAUUAGAUACCCGGGUAGUC